RNAcentral lists this long non-coding RNA (259 nucleotides) under Prunus persica (peach). RNAcentral's name for it is "long non-coding RNA (PPER_LNC003702)". The record is from RNAcentral. Lineage: Eukaryota; Viridiplantae; Streptophyta; Magnoliopsida; Rosales; Rosaceae.
CUCUUUGGUGGGGACAGAACUGGUGGAUUUAAGAGGUAGUGCUUGAUUUCCUCAAAAGGCUGUUGGUGAUAUUCCUUCUACUUAAAAGUCUGUUCCUAUUUCAACCUUAGCAAUGAGAAGAAAGACUGGAUUUUUCAUGUAGAAUUGGAUAUGAAUCUCCUUAGAAAGUUAAUUUUUCCUAGAAGACUCUGCAGCUCUUUCUUGUUCCGAUGUGGUAGAGUUUCUAUGAUGGAUUUUGCUUUAUUUUUAUCAAUCUCUA